UCGUUUUACUUAUUCCGAAAGAAACCUCCCAAAAUAAAUCCAUAUAGGGGGAUUCGAACAUAGAGAAUAACCAUGUAUAUGAGCUCCAAUUGUUAGGGUCACGCAAUUAACCACUACUGCUGAAUGCUUACCAUACCGAAGAACACUUAACUUUUUCUCCUACUGUCCACUCUCUCAUAUCAAUACAAUAACAUCCACGACAACGAUUUCAGUACCUUGUGUAAUUCACGAACAUACAAGCAUAUCCCAAACCCUAGAAUAAACAACUUCCAAUCCACAGAAUCUGAUCAAGAUAAUUCCUUCGAUUACAAUUCCUCUCCACUAAACUUACAACCUUGCGAUAAACAGUGACUGGAAACUUCCAUA
Molecule: long non-coding RNA, 366 nt
Filed under: Physcomitrium patens
Lineage: Eukaryota; Viridiplantae; Streptophyta; Bryopsida; Funariales; Funariaceae
Description: long non-coding RNA (PPAT_LNC013026)
Source: RNAcentral